This 557-nucleotide ribosomal RNA is filed under the name Clonostachys rosea. RNAcentral's name for it is "eukaryotic LSU rRNA". The stretch from base 186 to 339 matches the Rfam family "5.8S ribosomal RNA". Lineage: Eukaryota; Fungi; Ascomycota; Sordariomycetes; Hypocreales; Bionectriaceae. The record is from RNAcentral.
GUAGGGGGAACCUGCGGAGGGAUCAUUACCGAGUUUACAACUCCCAAACCCAUGUGAACAUACCUACUGUUGCUUCGGCGGGAUUGCCCCGGGCGCCUCGUGUGCCCCGGAUCAGGCGCCCGCCUAGGAAACUUAAUUCUUGUUUUAUUUUGGAAUCUUCUGAGUAGUUUUUACAAAUAAAUAAAAACUUUCAACAACGGAUCUCUUGGUUCUGGCAUCGAUGAAGAACGCAGCGAAAUGCGAUAAGUAAUGUGAAUUGCAGAAUUCAGUGAAUCAUCGAAUCUUUGAACGCACAUUGCGCCCGCCAGUAUUCUGGCGGGCAUGCCUGUCUGAGCGUCAUUUCAACCCUCAUGCCCCUAGGGCGUGGUGUUGGGGAUCGGCCAAAGCCCGCGAGGGACGGCCGGCCCCUAAAUCUAGUGGCGGACCCGUCGUGGCCUCCUCUGCGAAGUAGUGAUAUUCCGCAUCGGAGAGCGACGAGCCCCUGCCGUUAAACCCCCAACUUUCCAAGGUUGACCUCAGAUCAGGUAGGAAUACCCGCUGAACUUAAGCAUAUCAAU